CCUACGGGCGGCAGCAGUGGGGAAUAUUGCACAAUGGGGGAAACCCUGAUGCAGCGACGCCGCGUGAGUGAUGACUUAUUUCUGUAUUUAAAGCUCUAUCAGCAGGGGAGUAAUAGCAACCUUGGGGUCGCCAGACGGUACCUUAUUAAAAAACCCCUGCUAACUACGUGCCAGCAGCCGCGGUAAUACGUGGGGGGCAAGCGUUAUCCGGAUUUACUGGGGGUAAAGGGAGCGUAGAGGGGAGCGCAAGUCUGAAGUGAAAUGCCGGGGCUUAACCCCGGAACUGCUAUGGACACUGUGCAGCUAGAGUGCAGGAGAGGUAAGUGGAAUUCGUAGUGUAGCGGUGAAAUGCGUAGAUAUCAGGAGGAACACCAGUGGCGAAGGCGGCUUACUGGACUGUAACUGACGUUGAGGCUCGAAAGCGUGGGGAGCAAACAGGAUUAGAUACCCUUGUAGUC
RNAcentral lists this ribosomal RNA (458 nucleotides) under uncultured bacterium. RNAcentral describes it as "partial 16S ribosomal RNA". It matches the Rfam family "Bacterial small subunit ribosomal RNA", at positions 338 to 795 of the family's 1533-position model. The record is from RNAcentral.